ACCAGAACAUCUCGCGAUCUUUCUUAAAUAACUAAGUUUUUAAAAAAUUAAUCACCAUGUUGUCUCUUCUCACGUUAGUCAGAAGACUGAUCACUUUUCCUGUCUGUAAGUGUAAAGUUAAAGCUCCCAGGAGCCACAUCUUGGAGCCACCCCACAACCGGCUCAUGUUCAGAAGUGACCCAGCUUCUCCAAACCACUCAAGGUAUGCAGGACUGGCCGGGCCAAGGAGUGGACGGAUCAAGGCCCCGCAGCUCCCACUGUGGGCAGGGUGAGUGUGUGUUCCCAGACCUGGGGCACGAUGGUUCGUGAUUCCACAAUGAAAGGACUGUCUCCAUACAAAGACCCGAGCAGGUACUACUCACUCUGAGAGGAAUGGAAAUCCGCUUCCUCCCGCCCGCCCUGAUGCACACGUUCCGUGAACUCAGUGUGUCUCCCUCCUUAGCCCCCAGCCCUCCUGGUCACUCCCCUGUGGCUGGCCAGACCCGCUGGCUUUUACAUCGCUGAGUCCUCCUCGCCGGGCCACUUACGGACCAUGAAACAACCACAUCUGCCCUUCCUCUCCCUGGCAUCACCUCCCCCCUCAUGGUGCCUCCUCUGACAAAGUUGCCUCAUCCUCUCCUGAGGGCCCUCCCUCCAGCCCCCCCUGCAGGGCAAGCAGUCAGUCAACUCAGUCUGAGAGGAGGGCACUCGGUCCGGAAGAAUAUGACCGAAAAUAUCUCAUGGGCGUGCGCUCCAGCCCUCACCACACUCCGGUUCCAGACCAAGAUGGAGUAACGUGGAUGGAGCACAUUUCCCACUAAGAGCAGCUAAAAGCCCUGGACCUUGUACAUGAAACAAACAUGAGAAAACUCUGUAAGGCAGAGAGAAGAAGGCAAUUGACUAAGGGCCUUGGGAUCUGAGGAAUGACGGGGUGAUGAGUUCUCUGAGUUUUCUUUUUCCUCAUAUAUCCUGGACUGAGUGCUGGACAAGCUGGCAUCCUGGAAACACCACAGGAACAGAUUUUUAAAAAUCCCAAGAAAUGCCUUCUCUUACAAGUCAAUAGACCAGAAAAGGGGCAACCUAGCGAACUUUCAGACCAGGAACUGCUCUAUUCCAGCUAACCCUGCAGACAAAAAUGUCACCUUACCCCUGUCCCAGUCAGCAAAGGCUGAAUAGAGAGAGACCCAUCUUCACCCUGUUAUUAUAAGGGACCCCUGCUGACCCUUUUAACCCCUAAAGGAGAACCAAGUGUCAGAGAGAACCAAGUCGGGAGCCAGGACUUUCAUCCCAGCCCAGGUGACAGGUGACUAGCAAAAAGAAAACAAAAUAAAAUAAACAAAUGGCCCAACUAUAUGCAAGAGCAUUAUGCUGAGUGAAAAAAAAAAAAGCCAGUUUCAAAAGGUCACAUAGUGAUGAUUCCAUUAUAUAACAUGCUUGAAUGACAAAAUGAUAGAGAUGGAGAACAGACAGUGCUUGCCAGGGGCCAGAGCUGGUGGGGGUCGGGGAGGGGUGGGUGUGACUAUGAAGGAAGAGCGUGGUGACCUUUGUGGUGAUGGGGUUGUUCUCUAUCUUGAUGCUGUGGUCGUUACAUGUGAUGAAAUGGCACAGACUGAUACACAUACAUUGUACCAAUGUCAAUUUCCUGGUUUUGCUAUUAUACUAUAGCUGUAAGUUUAUAGCUUUCUUACAAAUUACAGUUAUAAGAUGUAACUAUUGGGGGGGAAGGAUACAAAAGACUCCUCUGUACAGUUUUUACAACGUCCUAUAAAUCUAUAAUUAUUUCAAAGUAGAAAGUUAAAAAAAAGAGUCAUCCUUCAAUUUUGAUACUUGUGAUUGUCAUUAAUGUUACAACCCAAAUUUUUGUAGCUCUCUGCUUUCUGGGGACAAUGCUGGGAUUUACCACAUUUCUCUGCUUCUUUGAAAGUUACAUAUGUCAGGUGGUUUGAUUUGGCCAUUGAAAUGCAUGCGUUAAAGUGAUACUUGGUGAAGCAGUGUUAGGAGACCAUGUGCCAUCCACCAUGUGCCCUUCUACAGUCUCUACCAAGGAGAAAUGAUGUGCUGCUCUGGAUUCUUCUUCAGCCUGAGCUGAAGUCUCCCCUCACCCUCAAAGGACAUGGAGUGUGGGCCAGAAAGGAAUGUGUAGUUUUAAGCUACCAGGAUUAGGGGCUUUUGGAAACAGAUAUCCAGUACCGUGCUACAACCGUGAGUCACCAUUACCUGCCCAUCCCUUGCAAACAAAUGCCUAAGAUGUACCGCUCUUCUCACCAGAUCCAAGGCAAGGCACCCUCCCGCCUGCUUAUGAUUUACAUUUGCCACCUCGAGGACUGCCGUCACCAUGCUGGCACAUGCUCACUGCCUGGCCUUACCCAUGACCACCACCCAGUGGAUUAGCGGAACAAGGCUCCUGCUUCCAUGCACCUUGACCCUCUUGUUCCUGGGCAUCAGAGCAAUGCAGUGGUCAUGACAAUGACAAUGUGCUAUGGGCGGGGAGUAGUUAG
This is an RNA transcript of Camelus dromedarius (Arabian camel), 2477 nucleotides long. RefSeq lists it as uncharacterized. The record is from RefSeq and is a predicted model, not a curated record. The transcript has 3 exons. NCBI's taxonomy places the organism in Eukaryota, Metazoa, Chordata, Mammalia, Artiodactyla, Camelidae.